This 212-nucleotide ribosomal RNA is filed under the name uncultured bacterium. Its description in RNAcentral is "partial 16S ribosomal RNA". It matches the Rfam family "Bacterial small subunit ribosomal RNA", at positions 142 to 353 of the family's 1533-position model. The record is from RNAcentral.
GAUAGCCUUUCGAAAGAAAGAUUAAUACCGGAUGGCAUACGAAUAUCGCAUGAUAUUUUUAUUAAAGAAUUUCGGUUAUCGAUGGGGAUGCGUUCCAUUAGUUUGUUGGCGGGGUAACGGCCCACCAAGACUACGAUGGAUAGGGGUUCUGAGAGGAAGGUCCCCCACAUUGGAACUGAGACACGGUCCAAACUCCUACGGGAGGCAGCAUG